AUGUCCAAUGUGCCAUUCAUCAAAAGAGCGUUGAGGGGGCUAUGUGGCAAGAUCAGCCGUGAGCAAGCAGACGAUGAUGUCAGGAAGACAAUGGAUGUUUUUGCCGAGUUGGGAGCAAAAGAUACUGGUCUGUACUACAGAGUGCAGUCGGAUGAGGAUAGCCGCAUACGGAAUUUGUUAUGGUCAACCGGAUCAAGCAGGGCCCAGUACCACUUCUUUGGAGAUGCGAUAACAUUUGAUACAACAUACCGUACCGACCUCUUUGACAUGCCAUUUGGCCUGUUUGUGGGAGUCAACAGACACUUCUAG
This 309-nucleotide ribosomal RNA is filed under the name Triticum aestivum (bread wheat). RNAcentral's name for it is "partial small subunit ribosomal RNA". Lineage: Eukaryota; Viridiplantae; Streptophyta; Magnoliopsida; Poales; Poaceae. The record is from RNAcentral.